GGCAGAUGAUGUCUGUUCUCACGAUGGUCUUCAGACAGCCCCAAGGGCACUGCUGAGACAGCCAGUUGGCAAAACUGAUGCCAGAAG
Microtus ochrogaster (prairie vole) is the source of this 87-nucleotide small nucleolar RNA. Ensembl annotates it as small nucleolar RNA, C/D box 35B. Its record names the gene Snord35b. The record is from Ensembl. NCBI's taxonomy places the organism in Eukaryota, Metazoa, Chordata, Mammalia, Rodentia, Cricetidae.